RNAcentral lists this ribosomal RNA (524 nucleotides) under uncultured bacterium. Its description in RNAcentral is "partial 16S ribosomal RNA". It matches the Rfam family "Bacterial small subunit ribosomal RNA", at positions 28 to 523 of the family's 1533-position model. The record is from RNAcentral.
GACGAACGCUGGCGGCGUGCCUAAUACAUGCAAGUCGAACGAAGCUGUUUUAACUGGUGCUUGCACCGACUUAAACAACUGAGUGGCGAACGGGUGAGUAACACGUGGGUAACCUGCCCCAAAGCGGGGGAUAACAUUUGGAAACAGAUGCUAAUACCGCAUAACCACAGAAACCACAUGGUUUCUGUGUCAAAGAUGGUUUCGGCUAUCACUUUGGGAUGGACCCGCGGCGUAUUAGCUAGUUGGUAAGGUAAUGGCUUACCAAGGCAAUGAUACGUAGCCGAACUGCGAGGUUGAUCGGCCACAUUGCGACUGCGACACGGCCCAAACUCCUACGGGAGGCAGCAGUAGGGAAUCUUCCACAAUGGACGAAAGUCUGAUGGAGCAACGCCGCGUGAGUGAAGAAGGUUUUCGGAUCGUAAAACUCUGUUGUCAGAGAAGAACGUGUGCGAGAGUAACUGCUCGUGCAGUGACGGUAUCUGGCCAGAAAGCCACGGCUAACUACGUGCCAGCCGCCGCCGUAA